AACGAACGCUGGCGGCAUGCCUAACACAUGCAAGUCGAACGAUGCCUUCGGGCAUAGUGGCGCACGGGUGCGUAACGCGUGGGAAUCUGCCUUUCGGUUCGGAAUAACUCAGGGAAGCUUGAGCUAAUACCGGAUAACGUCGCAAGACCAAAGAUUUAUCACCGAAAGAUGAGCCCGCGUAGGAUUAGCUAGUUGGUGAGGUAAAGGCUCACCAAGGCGACGAUCCUUAGCUGGUCUGAGAGGAUGAUCAGCCACACUGGGACUGAGACACGGCCCAGACUCCUACGGAAGGCAGCAGUGGGGAAUAUUGGACAAUGGGCGAAAGCCUGAUCCAGCAAUGCCGCGUGAGUGAUGAAGGCCUUAGGGUUGUAAAGCUCUUUUACCCGGGAAGAUAAUGACGGUACCGGGAGAAUAAGCCCCGGCUAACUCCGUG
This 433-nucleotide ribosomal RNA is filed under the name uncultured bacterium. RNAcentral describes it as "partial 16S ribosomal RNA". It matches the Rfam family "Bacterial small subunit ribosomal RNA", at positions 29 to 507 of the family's 1533-position model. The record is from RNAcentral.